This 486-nucleotide ribosomal RNA is filed under the name uncultured bacterium. RNAcentral describes it as "partial 16S ribosomal RNA". It matches the Rfam family "Bacterial small subunit ribosomal RNA", at positions 899 to 1397 of the family's 1533-position model. The record is from RNAcentral.
ACUCAAAGGAAUAGACGGGGACCCGCACAAGCGGUGGAGCGUGUGGUUUAAUUCGACGCUAAGCGAAGAACCUUACCAGGGCUUGACAUCUAGCUGCUUGCUCUAGGAAACUAGAGCGUCCUUCGAGGGUGCUAGACAGGUGCUGCAUGGUCGUCGUCAGCUCGUGUCGUGAGAUGUUGGGUUAAGUCCCGCAACGAGCGCAACCCUUGUCGUGUGUUGUAUUUUUCACGCGAGACUGCCUCGGUCAACGAGGAGGAAGGUGGGGAUGACGUCAGAUCAGCAUGGCCCUUAUGCCCUGGGCGACACACGCGCUACAAUGGCCGGUACAACGGGACGCGAAAUCGCAAGAUGGAGCUAAUCCCAUCAAAGCCGGUCCCAGUUCGGAUUGGAGUCUGCAACUCGACUCCAUGAAGUCGGAAUCGCUAGUAAACGCGGAUCAGCCACGCCGCGUUGAAUACGUUCUCGGGUCUUGUACACACCGCCCGU